GAUGAACGCUGGCGGCGUGCCUAAUACAUGCAAGUCGAGCGAACAGACGAGGAGCUUGCUCCUCUGACGUUAGCGGCGGACGGGUGAGUAACACGUGGAUAACCUACCUAUAAGACUGGGAUAACUUCGGGAAACCGGAGCUAAUACCGGAUAAUAUAUUGAACCGCAUGGUUCAAUAGUGAAAGACGGUUUUGCUGUCACUUAUAGAUGGAUCCGCGCCGCAUUAGCUAGUUGGUAAGGUAACGGCUUACCAAGGCAACGAUGCGUAGCCGACCUGAGAGGGUGAUCGGCCACACUGGAACUGAGACACGGUCCAGACUCCUACGGGAGGCAGCAGUAGGGAAUCUUCCGCAAUGGGCGAAAGCCUGACGGAGCAACGCCGCGUGAGCGAUGAAGGUCCUCGGAUCGUAAAACUCUGUUAUUAGGGAAGAACAAAUGUGUAAGUAACUAUGCACGCCUUGACGGUACCUAAUCAGAAAGCCACGGCUAACUACGUG
RNAcentral lists this ribosomal RNA (497 nucleotides) under uncultured bacterium. Its description in RNAcentral is "partial 16S ribosomal RNA". It matches the Rfam family "Bacterial small subunit ribosomal RNA", at positions 28 to 507 of the family's 1533-position model. The record is from RNAcentral.